CAGGAUGAACGCUAGCUACAGGCUUAACACAUGCAAGUCGAGGGGCAGCAUGAUCGAAGCUUGCUUGAUGAUGGCGACCGGCGCACGGGUGAGUAACGCGUAUCCAACCUUCCCUAUAGUAGAGAAUAGCCCGGCGAAAGUCGGAUUAAUGCUCUAUGUUGUAUUUAGAGGACAUCUGAAGAAUACCAAAAGGUUUACCGCUAUAGGAUGGGGAUGCGUCUGAUUAGGUUGUUGGCGGGGUAACGGCCCACCAAGCCCACGAUCAGUAGGGGUUCUGAGAGGAAGGUCCCCCACAUUGGAACUGAGACACGGUCCAAACUCCUACGGGAGGCAGCAGUGAGGAAUAUUGGUCAAUGGACGCAAGUCUGAACCAGCCAAGUAAGCGUGCAGGAUGACGGCCCUAUGGGUUGUAAACUGCUUUUAUACAGGGAUAAAGUGAGGGACGUGUCCCUUUUUGUAGGUACUGUAUGAAUAAGGACCGGCUAAUUCCGUGCCAGCCGCCGC
Molecule: ribosomal RNA, 504 nt
Filed under: uncultured bacterium
Lineage: Bacteria
Description: bacterial SSU rRNA
Rfam family: Bacterial small subunit ribosomal RNA
Source: RNAcentral